Molecule: ribosomal RNA, 161 nt
Filed under: Nicotiana linearis
Lineage: Eukaryota; Viridiplantae; Streptophyta; Magnoliopsida; Solanales; Solanaceae
Description: 5.8S ribosomal RNA
Rfam family: 5.8S ribosomal RNA (bases 1-139)
About the family: 5.8S ribosomal RNA (5.8S rRNA) is a component of the large subunit of the eukaryotic ribosome. It is transcribed by RNA polymerase I as part of the 45S precursor that also contains 18S and 28S rRNA.
Source: RNAcentral
AUCUCGGCUCUCGCAUCGAUGAAGAACGUAGCGAAAUGCGAUACUUGGUGUGAAUUGCAGAAUCCCGUGAACCAUCGAGUCUUUGAACGCAAGUUGCGCCCGAAGCCAUCAGGCCGAGGGCACGUCUGCCUGGGCGUCACGCAUCGCGUCGCCCCCGCACA